UCCUACUGUUUGGUUUAAAAUGAUAGAAAAUGCUCUUAACUUUAUUUUUAUUGCCCUACUUGGAGUUUUUUACUUCACCAGAAAGCGUUGGAGACGUAUUCCCUCGAGCCGAUAUGCUAAUAAACGAUGGUGGGUUCACGCCAUCUGGAGACAGCGCACCAAGCAUUCACAAUUUUCUACAACUAUGCGAAAAUUAAAGAAAGCAAGUGAUAUUAAAAUGAUGAAAAAGUACAUCAGGCUAACUAGUUCAGAAUAUAGAGAGCUGUUAAAUCUAGUUGAGCAUCGUCUGACCAAGACACACUGGCGCGCUUUAUCAGCAGAUUUUAAGCUGUCUUUCACAUUAAGAUAUCUGGCAACUGGAGGUGACAAAACCAGCAUGGCAUAUGGUUAUCUAU
Long non-coding RNA from Culex quinquefasciatus (southern house mosquito), 395 nucleotides. RefSeq lists it as uncharacterized. The transcript has 3 exons. Lineage: Eukaryota; Metazoa; Arthropoda; Insecta; Diptera; Culicidae. The record is from RefSeq and is a predicted model, not a curated record.